This 92-nucleotide transfer RNA is filed under the name Lentisphaerota bacterium. RNAcentral describes it as "Lentisphaerae bacterium tRNA-Ser". It matches the Rfam family "tRNA". From Rfam's summary of the family: Transfer RNA (tRNA) molecules are approximately 80 nucleotides in length. Their secondary structure includes four short double-helical elements and three loops (D, anti-codon, and T loops). The record is from RNAcentral. RNAcentral also lists the same sequence under 1 other name. Lineage: Bacteria; Pseudomonadati; Lentisphaerota.
GGAGAGAUGCCUGAGUGGCCGAAAGGAACGGUUUGCUAAACCGUCGUAGGGAUCAAACCCUACCGCGGGUUCGAAUCCCGCUCUCUCCGCCA